GAACAUUGAGCCUUGAUGUGUAGGAUAGGUGGGAGGCUUAGAAGUGUGGACGCCAGUCUGCAUGGAGCCGACCUUGAAAUACCACCCUUUAAUGUUUGAUGUUCUAACGUUGACCCGUAAUCCGGGUUGCGGACAGUGUCUGGUGGGUAGUUUGACUGGGGCGGUCUCCUCCUAAAGAGUAACGGAGGAGCACGAAGGUUGGCUAAUCCUGGUCGGACAUCAGGAGGUUAGUGCAAUGGCAUAAGCCAGCUUGACUGCGAGCGUGACGGCGCGAGCAGGUGCGAAAGCAGGUCAUAGUGAUCCGGUGGUUCUGAAUGGAAGGGCCAUCGCUCAACGGAUAAAAGGUACUCCGGGGAUAACAGGCUGAUACCGCCCAAGAGUUCAUAUCGACGGCGGUGUUUGGCACCUCGAUGUCGGCUCAUCACAUCCUGGGGCUGAAGUAGGUCCCAAGGGUAUGGCUGUUCGCCAUUUAAAGUGGUACGCGAGCUGGGUUUAGAACGUCGUGAGACAGUUCGGUCCCUAUCUGCCGUGGGCGCUGGAGAACUGAGGGGGGCUGCUCCUAGUACGAGAGGACCGGAGUGGACGCAUCACUGGUGUUCGGGUUGUCAUGCCAAUGGCACUGCCCGGUAGCUAAAUGCGGAAGAGAUAAGUGCUGAAAGCAUCUAAGCACGAAACUUGCC
Molecule: ribosomal RNA, 680 nt
Filed under: Escherichia coli
Lineage: Bacteria; Pseudomonadati; Pseudomonadota; Gammaproteobacteria; Enterobacterales; Enterobacteriaceae
Description: partial 23S ribosomal RNA
Rfam family: Bacterial large subunit ribosomal RNA
Source: RNAcentral